RNAcentral lists this unclassified non-coding RNA (1174 nucleotides) under Hevea brasiliensis (rubber tree). The record is from RNAcentral. Lineage: Eukaryota; Viridiplantae; Streptophyta; Magnoliopsida; Malpighiales; Euphorbiaceae.
CUGUAGUGCCAGAAAUGCUCCUUAAAGUAUUAGAGCCUUAUCGAAAAGAAGGAUGCAUACUUGAUGAUGAGAGAGCAAGAUUAUAUGCUACCAUAGUCAACAAAGGUUGUGCUGUGAGGUUUGCCUUUGCAGCUGCUAUUUUUGGUGAAACUUCGGAAGCUCUUUUCUGGUUGCAAUUGCCUCAUGCCCUGAAACAUUUGAUAAAUAAGUUGGUAAAUAAGUCUCCACAGAAAGUACCCAUCUCAGCUUCAAUGCUGGAGAUUGAUGGCACGGCUAUGUUGAACAGAAUUGCAUCAAAGGGGAAAUCAGUAACUGGUACUGAGAACAGGGAUUUAUUGAGCAGUGGUCAACUUAGAUUGAUGGCUUUCCAGCAAGAAGAGUUAUGGGAGAGUGCUAAUGAGCGCAUUCCUUGGCAUGAGAAACUGGAGGGAGAAGAGGCUAUUCAAAACCAUGUGCAUGAGCUUGUAUCAGUUGGGAAUUUGGAAGCAGCAGUUAGUUUGUUGCUUUCCACCUCUCCAGAUAGUUCUUAUUUCUAUGCAAAUGCUCUACGUGCGGUUGCUCUUUCUUCUGCUGUGUCAAGAUCUCUUCAUGAGCUUGCAGUUAAGGUUGUUGCAGCUAACAUGGUCAGGACUGACAGAUCAUUGUCUGGUACUCAUCUUCUUUGUGCUGUUGGAAGGUAUCAAGAAGCUUGUUCUCAGCUGCAAGAUGCUGGAUGCUGGACAGAUGCUGCAACUUUAGCUGCUACACACUUGAAGGGAUCUGAUUAUGCAAGGGUCUUGCAAAGAUGGGCUGAGCAUGUUCUUCGUUCUGAAUACAACAUCUGGAGGGCUCUAAUUUUGUUUGUUGCGGCUGGUGCAUUGCAAGAGGCCCUUGCAGCACUUCGUGAAGCACAGCAACCUGAUACAGCUGCCAUGUUUAUACUUGCUUGCCGAGAAAUCCAUGGAGAAAUUAUUGGUCAUUUAAGAAAUUCAGAUGAUGAAUCAGGGUCUUCAGACAAUAAUGUUCUAAUUAACUUACCUGGGUUGAACCCAGAGAAUGAAGAUGUUAUUGCAGUUGGUGAAUAUUUUGGGCAGUAUCAAAGAAAAUUGGUGCAUCUAUGCAUGGACGCACAGCCAUUUUCUGAUUAAUUGACCAAGCGUGUUAGAUUUUUUUUUUUUUUUUAAUUGUAGUUUCU